RNAcentral lists this long non-coding RNA (1702 nucleotides) under Zalophus californianus (California sea lion). RNAcentral's name for it is "lncRNA (ENSZCAG00015010557.1)". The record is from RNAcentral. Lineage: Eukaryota; Metazoa; Chordata; Mammalia; Carnivora; Otariidae.
CGGGAGGGGCGGUUUCCCUGCGUGCGCAGGAACCGCCGGCUGUCAGAGGACGCCAGGGCGUUACCUGACCCAGGGUGCCUCAGGGCAGGAGAGGUUUCUGCCGCCCCCUUGGGACCCAGCGCCCCUCCGAGAGCCAGAGCUGCGUUUCCAAUAAGUUCUGCAGCCGGCCCGGGGGAACCUGGGCCCUUUGCAGCAUCUUGGUGCCUCCUGAGGAGCGACGGAGAAGCUGCCUUGUUCGCUGAGUGCUGAGGAGGGGACUCUGGGCGGCUUCCCCGGGACAUACUGAUCAAUGAAGCAAAGAAAUGUACUCAAGAAACCAUGUGGCCAAAGAAGCUUCCCUCUUAUGGAGCCCAUAGACUUAAGGUAAAAAAAAAAAAAAAAAAUCCUUUCUUUGUCCUGGAUUACACUCUCAAAACAGAGGUAAAAGUAAUGAGUAUGUAUUCCUGAUGUCUGUAUGUUCUGUUGAAGAAUGACCUGGACACACUUGAGAGCGCUAAUGCAAUCCUUAGUGACAUCACUCAAAGUGUGCAUGCUCAGUUGUAAUGUGAGAGAGAUCAGAAUGUCAUAGUCUCAUGACUGCCAUAUGUCUAUCAUUGUUAAACUCUAGAUAUUGGGUAGGAAAUAUCUGGAGAAAAACUGAGGUGCACCCUGAUGGUAUCUUGCUGCAGACAAGAUGGGAGUUAAUGGCUGGCAGGUGACUGGGGGGUGCCAGCAGUCGCAAAUCCCAGUGAACUCAGUUUUCCUUCCUUUCCUUCUUUUCUUUUCUCUUCUCUUCCCCUCCCCCUCCCUUCCCUUUCCCUUUCCUUCCUUCCUCCCCACCUCCCAGCUAAAAUCCUUUUCCAGGAGACAAUAUCCUGACAGUGGAGCAAUUCAGAUCAUUGUUUUUGUUGUUCAGCAUGGUUUGCAUUCUUCUCAACUAGUGUCUUUGAGGAACACAAUAGAAGAGAUGUAAGAACAGCUGCAGCAGCAAGAGCUCCCCCUUUCAGACAUCAGGGAGCCCACAAGUUCUGCCCAGUGUUUUCUGAAUCCUUCGGCACCUAAUGCAGACGAUCAAAGGCCCACUGAAUCUCUGCACGUGGGAUUUUGACUGAUGUGCUGACUCUUUCAGAUCACUCUUCGGGAGAAGGUGGCUCGGGACAACUGGGUAAGAAUGUUUUUCUCUCCUCCUCUUGUGCGCGAGCUGCCCCAGCUGAACGUGGGUGUGUUUCUCUCCCACAUCUCAGGGCUCCUGAUCUUGAUGGGGUGAUGGUGGGGUGGAGCAGAGCAGGGAGGUUGCCCGCUUGAAACACCAGUACAGGAUUUUGACAUACUUCGGUUAAGGGCUUUGUGAGGUUUCUAAGGAGAAGCUGUUUCUUGUCCAGGGGAGGCCUGGGUGUGGUAAUUCUUAGUGAAAUUGAUUCAUCUCCAUCUUCCAAGACUGGAAGAAAUCCAAAGACAGAGGCCACCAGAGGAAUCGAGGAGGCAGAAACCAGUGCCAGGAGAAUGUGACAAGGACAUCCCUCCGUGGACAGGUAAGGAGCACGAUGUGAAAUGCAGCAGUUUAAUUUCUGCUGCAACAUCCCCUCGAUUGGCUUCUUGUUCCAGUGGGCAAUCGCUGUGUCUCCUGGAAAUAAUCACAAGAGGUUACUAGAGGAAACAGGUUAUCUCGCAGAGGUGACAGGACUCUGUUUCCUCAGAAGCCCCCAGGUAGCAGGGCACUUUG